UGCCAAGCCCACGUUCAAAGG
RNAcentral lists this microRNA (21 nucleotides) under Bos taurus (domestic cattle). RNAcentral describes it as "bta-miR-6123". Lineage: Eukaryota; Metazoa; Chordata; Mammalia; Artiodactyla; Bovidae. The record is from miRBase by way of RNAcentral.